GACGAACGCUGGCGGCGUGCCUAAUACAUGCAAGUAGAACGCUGAAGGAGGAGCUUGCUUCUCCGGAUGAGUUGCGAACGGGUGAGUAACGCGUAGGUAACCUGCCUGGUAGCGGGGGAUAACUAUUGGAAACGAUAGCUAAUACCGCAUAACAGUAGAUGUUGCAUGACAUUUGCUUAAAAGGUGCAAUUGCAUCACUACCAGAUGGACCUGCGUUGUAUUAGCUAGUUGGUGAGGUAACGGCUCACCAAGGCGACGAUACAUAGCCGACCUGAGAGGGUGAUCAGCCACACUGGGACUGAGACACGGCCCAGACUCCUACGGGAGGCAGCAGUAGGGAAUCUUCGGCAAUGGACGGAAGUCUGACCGAGCAACGCCGCGUGAGUGAAGAAGGGUUUCGGAUCGUAAAGCUCUGUUGUAAGAGAAGAACGAGUGUGAGAGUGGAAAGUUCACACUGUGACGGUAUCUUACCAGAAAGGGACGGCUAACUACGUG
RNAcentral lists this ribosomal RNA (495 nucleotides) under uncultured bacterium. RNAcentral's name for it is "partial 16S ribosomal RNA". It matches the Rfam family "Bacterial small subunit ribosomal RNA", at positions 28 to 507 of the family's 1533-position model. The record is from RNAcentral.